This 514-nucleotide ribosomal RNA is filed under the name Helenozyma melibiosica. Its description in RNAcentral is "eukaryotic LSU rRNA". It matches the Rfam family "Eukaryotic large subunit ribosomal RNA", at positions 62 to 648 of the family's 3401-position model. Lineage: Eukaryota; Fungi; Ascomycota; Pichiomycetes; Serinales; Metschnikowiaceae. The record is from RNAcentral.
AAACCAACAGGGAUUGCCCCAGUAACGGCGAGUGAAGCGGCAAAAGCUCAAUUUUGAAAUCCCCCCGGGGAGUUGUAAUUUGAAGACUAGGGGAUUUGGCCCAAACCUGCGCAAGUCCAUUGGAACAUGGCGCCCAAGAGGGUGAGAGCCCCGUCGCGCAGGCCGCAGCCUUGACAUCCCCCCGUCAAAGAGUCGAGUUGUUUGGGAAUGCAGCUCAAAGUGGGUGGUAAAUUCCAUCUAAAGCUAAAUAUUGGCGAGAGACCGAUAGCGAACAAGUACAGUGAUGGAAAGAUGAAAAGCACUUUGAAAAGAGAGUGAAACAGUACGUGAAAUUGUUGAAAGGGAAGGGCUUGCAAGCAGACACGAGUUCGCUCGGGCCAGCAUCAAUUUCGCGAGGUGGACAACACGCCAGGAAUGUGGCAGGCUCCGGCCUGUGUUAUAGCCUGCGCGCCAUACACCUCCGCGAGAUUGAGGCCUGCUCCAAAAGGAUGCUGGCGUAAUGGUUGCAAGUCGC